RNAcentral lists this transfer RNA (71 nucleotides) under Marmota monax (woodchuck). Its description in RNAcentral is "tRNA.Ala". Lineage: Eukaryota; Metazoa; Chordata; Mammalia; Rodentia; Sciuridae. The record is from RNAcentral.
GGGGUUGUGGCUCAGUGGUAGUGCACUCGUCUGGCAGAUGUGAGGCACUGGGUUCAAUCCGCAGCACCACA